RNAcentral lists this ribosomal RNA (120 nucleotides) under uncultured bacterium. RNAcentral describes it as "partial 16S ribosomal RNA". It matches the Rfam family "Bacterial small subunit ribosomal RNA", at positions 215 to 334 of the family's 1533-position model. The record is from RNAcentral.
UCGCCUUUGGAUGAGCCCGCGUUGGAUUAGCUAGUUGGUGGGGUAACGGCCUACCAAGGCGACGAUCCAUAGCUGAUCUGAGAGGAUGAUCAGCCACACUGGGACUGAGACACGGCCCAG